AGGAGAAAGAAGUGAUUGAAGAGCACUUCAGAAAGCUUGGUACAUUCAAAUCAGCAGGGCUUGAUUACUCGCAUCCCAGGACACUUAAGGAAUUGGCAAAUAUAAUUGCAAGACCACCAGCCUUUAUUUUAGAAAAUGAAGGUUGGACAGAAGAAGGUCCUGACAAGUAGAAUCAGCAGAUGGAGUACCUGUUUUUUAAAACAGGGAAAAGGACAGCUGUAGUAAUUAUAGACUAUUCAGCUUAUCUUGGAUACCUGGGAAGAUACAAGAGCAAAUCAUCAAACAAUCAAUUUGCAACCACCUAGAAGAGUACAAGGAAUAUUGAUCUCAGCGUUACUUUGACCAUUAAUGAAUUAUGAUGGCAAUAAGCAAAGAUUCGCACCUCUAGCCUCCAGGGAGCUUAAUCUUCUGCUACAACGUUUGCAUUUGGUGUCUCUCUACUGCUCAGGCUGGAGUGCAGUGGUGCAAUCAUAGCUCACUGCAGCCUCGACUUCCUGGACUCAGGUGACCCUCUCGCCUGAAACCAUACUCCCCCUCAAGUAGCUGAGACUACAGGUAUGAAAACUGAGGUGCAGAAAGAAAUAACUAUUGAAAGUCACAAAACUGUUGCAGCAGCCUAGGAGGAAAGCAGCAGAGAAAGACGAACCUGUGACCCUACUGAGCUGCAGGCAGAAGAAUCUUCUUUGUACUGCUCGAGGUCAAGAAUGUGUUUACCCCCGGCCUAAUGCUCUGAACUUUUGCAUCUGAGUGCAGGACUUCAGGACCUCUGAAGGCCACCACACAGUGGAAUGAAGCUCCCUAGCAGAAGCAACUGGAUUAAACGUGCAACAAGACCGGUCCACACCAGCCCCCCAAGUCACUGAACUCAAUGACAUCAUGCCCAGGCAGAGAAAGUCAACAGGCCUCUGGCCCGGGUCCCCUCCACUCCUCUCAUUUCUUCUGCCUCUCGCUGUUCUUAACCCAGGGACGGUAUUUAGAAAGCAGAGCGGGUUCAGGCAGCCCUCUCAAUUACUUUGGCUGGAACCUUCCUGAGUACAUUUUGCUAUCUCUUUGUGAUGUAAACAGGGGCAUUCACAGUUGGCAGGGGAUGCUCUUUCUGUUUUAAUUACACACGGCAUAAUUAUAGUCCCAGGGUCUGGAAACAGCACAAAGUUCUUUGGAGAACUUCAUAGGGAUUUUUCUAUUAUGACAUAGUUUAUCAGGAGAAAAAAAAAAGUAAGGCAAAAGACAUUUCCAAACAGGAACUAAUAACAAUAUUUAUACUAGCAUUCCAUUCCAUAAUGAGCAGAUCACAAAAUCAGAGUAGACAUUUUUUCUGGAGGCGGGGGUAGAGUUUCAAAAUUUUGGACUCAUGGACAGUGGUGGCAAAAUCUAGAUAAAUACUAAUGAAUGGAUGUGGGUGGAGAAGGAUAUAUACAUAAAUGUUUUUUUACUUAAGAAAGCAAUUAGAAGGCAUCCAGCUGUAUCUGAGGGAAUUUGCACGUACCCUGGACCCUGAGGAUAUGGAAAAAGAUCCUACCAUAGUCAUAGUAAUCUGGCCUAAACCUGAGUCGUAAAAUUCUCU
Molecule: long non-coding RNA, 1564 nt
Organism: Pongo pygmaeus (Bornean orangutan)
Lineage: Eukaryota; Metazoa; Chordata; Mammalia; Primates; Hominidae
Exons: 5
Source: RefSeq, a predicted model, not a curated record